RNAcentral lists this ribosomal RNA (376 nucleotides) under uncultured eukaryote. RNAcentral describes it as "SSU rRNA". It matches the Rfam family "Eukaryotic small subunit ribosomal RNA", at positions 587 to 972 of the family's 1831-position model. The record is from RNAcentral.
AGCUCACUUAGCAUAUAUUAUUAAUGCUGCAGUUAAAACGUUCGUAGUCGUAUUACAUGUAUAGUCUGUUGCGUUCAUAUAUCUUGAUAUAUCAUAUUUUGAUAUGUGUCCGCGCCGAUACAACGGCAAUUAAGAAGGCGUAGUAAUAACGUCAAUCAUAUUUGUUGCUGUACUUUGAGUGAUUCGGCAUGCUCAAAAUCUGUGAGAUGAUUAGCCAUAACGACUCACCAAAGCAUAAUCUUAAGUUUUGAGAUAAGUAUAUGUUUAAAAAAUAUAUGGGAUUGGCCAAGGGGGUUGGUACUUAGUUGUUAGAGGUGAAAUUCUUUGACCAAUUGAUGACCGGCAGUUGCGCGAGCUUUCUCCAGGCAUAUUUCCU